GAUGAACGCUGGCGGCGUGCCUAAUACAUGCAAGUCGAACGAAACUUCUUUAUCACCGAGUGCUUGCACUCACCGAUAAAGAGUUGAGUGGCGAACGGGUGAGUAACACGUGGGCAACCUGCCCAAAAGAGGGGGAUAACACUUGGAAACAGGUGCUAAUACCGCAUAACCAUAGUUACCGCAUGGUAACUAUGUAAAAGGUGGCUAUACUACCGCUUUUGGAUGGGCCCGCGGCGCAUUAGCUAGUUGGUAGGGUAAAGGCUUACCAAGGCAAUGAUGCGUAGCCGAAUUGAGAGGUUGAUCGGCCACAUUGGGACUGAGACACGGCCCAAACUCCUACGGGAGGCAGCAGUAGGGAAUCUUCCACAAUGGGCGAAAGCCUGAUGGAGCAACGCCGCGUGGGUGAAGAAGGUCUUCGGAUCGUAAAACCCUGUUGUUAGAGAAGAAAGUGCGUGAGAGUAACUGUUCACGUUUCGACGGUAUCUAACGAGAAAGCCACGGCUAACUACGUG
Molecule: ribosomal RNA, 512 nt
Filed under: uncultured bacterium
Lineage: Bacteria
Description: partial 16S ribosomal RNA
Rfam family: Bacterial small subunit ribosomal RNA
Source: RNAcentral